CCGCGCUGUCCCCGCAGGAGACGGACCAGCUGGAGGAGGAGAAGGCGGAGCUGGAGUCGGAGAUCGCGGAGCUGCGCAAGGAGAAGGAGCGCCUGGAGUUCGUGCUGGUGGCGCACGCUCCCGCCUGCAAGGUCCCGUUCGAGGACGUGGCCGCCGGCCCGGCCGAGAGGGAGCCACGUGUGGAGCCUCGCACCAGCGGAGCAGCAGCAGCGACCAGUCCUCGGACUCCUUGAAUUCUCCCUCGCUCCUCGCGUUGUGAACGGGCAGCCCCCUCCCCAAUCCCCGAUCCGUCCCGGCCGACCCCUCCUCGAGCCGCGCAUUGAGCCCCCACCCCCCCAAAAAAACCAAAAAACCCCAAAAAUCCAAAAAACAAAACAAAAAAAAAAUUCGGAAAAAUGGGAAAAUUCUGAAAAUUCGGAAAAAAUUUCGGAAAAAAAUUCAGGCGCCUCCUCCCUGCCCCCGCCGCGCCUCGGGGUUGGGCUUUGCCCUCCUCGAUUUAUUAUUUUAUUUUUUUUUUGGGUGUUUUUCCCAGCUCUGAUGUUUUUUUUUGGGGGGAGGUUGGGAGGGGUUUUUGGGGUUUUGGCGCUUGGAGGUGGCGGCCGUGAUGAGGCUGUGCCCGGUCCUUGUCACCCGGUGGGGGCUCAUCCAGGAUCUGUGUCACUGUGGGGAUGUCCCUGCUGUGUCCCCAAUGUCCGGAGAAGGUUCUGGGCCACCUCAGAGGUGUCCCCAACUCAUUUCAAGGGGACCUGUGCCACUCUGGAGAUGUCCCUGCUCUGUCCCCAAUGCCCGAGGAAAGUUCUGGGUCACCCUAGAGGUGUCCCCAGCUCAUUUCAGGGGGACCUCUGUCCUUCUGAGGGUGUCCCUGUCCUGUCCCCACUGCCCCGAGAAGCCU
RNAcentral lists this long non-coding RNA (892 nucleotides) under Catharus ustulatus (Swainson's thrush). RNAcentral describes it as "lncRNA (ENSCUSG00005006357.1)". Lineage: Eukaryota; Metazoa; Chordata; Aves; Passeriformes; Turdidae. The record is from RNAcentral.